Molecule: ribosomal RNA, 71 nt
Filed under: uncultured freshwater diatom
Lineage: Eukaryota; Bacillariophyta
Description: partial 18S ribosomal RNA
Source: RNAcentral
GUUUCCGUAGGUGAACCUGCGGAAGGAUCAUUACCACACUGAUCCAUGAUCUCCAACCCCGUGAAUUUGGC